This 75-nucleotide transfer RNA is filed under the name Ixodes scapularis (black-legged tick). It matches the Rfam family "tRNA". From Rfam's summary of the family: Transfer RNA (tRNA) molecules are approximately 80 nucleotides in length. The record is from Rfam by way of RNAcentral. Lineage: Eukaryota; Metazoa; Arthropoda; Arachnida; Ixodida; Ixodidae.
UCCUCGCUAGUAUAGCGGUCAGUAUCCCCGCCACCUGCCACGCGGGAGACCGGGGUUCGAUUCCCCGACGGGAAG